GGCCAAUUGCUAGUGUUCUGAUUGAUAAGUAUUUAUGUUUUGAAUAUGUAUGGACACAUAGAUAGGGCUUAUAUCAGUCAUUCAACAGCAUUAAAUAUAUUCAAAAUUCUGAUGACGUGAUGAGAUCAACUUAUGUAAGUGAUUACAGCUGUUGAACUUUGCUCCAUGUUAUGGUAUUUGCUGUGUUGUUUACAAGAAAAGGGGUUAUGAGUACCAUAAGAGCUGCACAGACCGUUAAAUGUUAAACGCUAAAAUUUAUAGUUUCUUCUGUAAUGUGUGGUGUUUUUUAGCCGGUACUGACAAGAAGGUUAGACACUUCUUCAAGAUCAGAAGACAACCUGGCACUGGACUUGUCUCAGGACAAACCUCGGCCUGAUGUGAGUAUUUGCAUGUUGAAUAUCAUUAACAAAUGAGAGCAUCAUAUGCCUUAACAUUAAAUCCUUCAAUUCGGUGGUUUUACAAUAUUAGUUUAUUUUGAGCCUUCUCAUAAUGUUUUUGAAUGAUUUUUUUCUUGUUUUCACACACACGCACGCACGCACGCACGCACACACACGCACACACUCACACACACACACACACUCACACACACACACACGGUUGUGACAUUUAUUUAAACUGCCCACAUAAAAUCUCUGAGUGAAAACCAUAAUUUAUCAUCAUUGUCCAAUGUCAGAGAGUGUUCAAGAAUAGCCUUAUGUUGCUAAAUAAGAGAUCACUUUGCAUCACGAAGUUUUCCCUCCAAAAACACCCAGACAAACUUGUCUUAUUUCACUUUUAUUUAUCAUCCAGCCACCAAAUAUACGUAAGUGACUUUGACGUGUACACACUCACUGCAGUCUGUCCCAUUGAAGAGCAUGGACAGUGCAGGCUGCGCUUGGAACUGUUGAGGGGUACAUGAACCACGUGACCGCUCCGGCGGCAAGAUCUGAAGUUGUCGCCACUCUGUUUAAUCCACUGCUCUGGAUAGGCCUAUUGGGAUUAAUAUCUUGAACCUACACUGAUUUGUGUUUUCUGUUGGAGAAUGUACAAAAUAAUCUCUUAACACCAAACAACAAUGAUAAGUGAACAUUGAAUGUUUUAAAAAGUAACUGUAAUUUAUUUCGAUUUUACUGUAAUUUAUACAAUAUUCAUAUAUUUUGCCAAUGGAACAGGGAGCCACUGGAGAGAGGCAGAAGAGCCGCAAGUGGCAGGCCACUGACCAACACAUUGCCUGUUUGCUCCAAGGCCAUUAAGGUCCAACUCAAUGCAGCCUCAGCGACAGUGAGGAAACUGGAGUGGGAGAAGGACAAUGCGCUGCGAAGAGAAAGGAGGGCCAAGAAAAACAUGCAGACUCUUUUGG
This is a non-coding RNA of Xyrichtys novacula (pearly razorfish), 1339 nucleotides long. The record is from the annotation of a GenBank genome assembly. Lineage: Eukaryota; Metazoa; Chordata; Actinopteri; Labriformes; Labridae.